This 506-nucleotide non-coding RNA is filed under the name uncultured Glomeromycotina. Its description in RNAcentral is "partial small subunit ribosomal RNA". It matches the Rfam family "Eukaryotic small subunit ribosomal RNA", at positions 591 to 1092 of the family's 1831-position model. The record is from RNAcentral. Lineage: Eukaryota; Fungi; Glomeromycota. RNAcentral also lists the same sequence under 1 other name.
CCAAUAGCGUAUAUUAAAGUUGUUGCAGUUAAAAAGCUCGUAGUUGAAUUUCGGGAUUGACACAUCGGUCGUGCCUUAAGGGGUAUGAACUGGUGUAGUCAAUUUCUCACCUUCUGGAGAACCGCAAUGCCCUUAAUUGGGUGUCGCGGGGAACCAGGACCUUUACUUUGAAAAAAUUAGAGUGUUUAAAGCAGGCAUUUUGCUUGAAUACAUUAGCAUGGAAUAAUAAAAUAGGACGGCAUGAUUCUAUUUUGUUGGUUUCUAGGAUCACCGUAAUGAUUAAUAGGGAUAGUUGGGGGCAUUAGUAUUCAAUUGUCAGAGGUGAAAUUCUUGGAUUUAUUGAAGACUAACUACUGCGAAAGCAUUUGCCAAGGAUGUUUUCAUUAAUCAAGAACGAAAGUUAGGGGAUCGAAGACGAUCAGAUACCGUCGUAGUCUUAACCAUAAACUAUGCCGACUAGGAAUCAGACGAUGUUAAUUUUUUAAUGACUCGUUUGGCACCUUACG